This 484-nucleotide ribosomal RNA is filed under the name uncultured bacterium. RNAcentral describes it as "partial 16S ribosomal RNA". It matches the Rfam family "Bacterial small subunit ribosomal RNA", at positions 30 to 507 of the family's 1533-position model. The record is from RNAcentral.
AUUGGACGCUGGCGGCAGGCCUAACACAUGCCAGUCGAGCGGAUGAAGGGAGCUUGCUCCUGGAUUCAGCGGCGGACGGGUGAGUAAUGCCUAGGAAUCUGCCUGGUAGUGGGGGAUAACGUCCGGAAACGGGCGCUAAUACCGCAUACGUCCUGAGGGAGAAAGUGGGGGAUCUUCGGACCUCACGCUAUCAGAUGAGCCUAGGUCGGAUUAGCUAGUUGGUGGGGUAAAGGCCUACCAAGGCGACGAUCCGUAACUGGUCUGAGAGGAUGAUCAGUCACACUGGAACUGAGACACGGUCCAGACUCCUACGGGAGGCAGCAGUGGGGAAUAUUGGACAAUGGGCGAAAGCCUGAUCCAGCCAUGCCGCGUGUGUGAAGAAGGUCUUCGGAUUGUAAAGCACUUUAAGUUGGGAGGAAGGGCAGUAAGUUAAUACCUUGCUGUUUUGACGUUACCAACAGAAUAAGCACCGGCUAACUUCGUG